GAGCUGUACUCAAAGAUCUAAGACUUUUUCAAUGUACACAAAAGGCAUAUUUCUCUCAAAUAUUGUUCACAAAUCUGUCUAGAUCUAUCUAAAUCUGUUAAAUCUGUAAAGUAACACUGCACAUUUUAGAGUGUCCUUUUAUUGUGCAAUCAGCAUCCUAAUAUGCCACACCUGUGAGGUGGAUGGAUUAUCUCAGCAAAGGAGAAGUGCUCACUAACAGAUUUAGACAGAUUUGUGAACAAUAUUUGAGAGAACUUGGCCUUUUGUGUACAUAGAAAAAAAAAAAAAGUCUUAGAUCUUUGAGUUCAGCUC
Molecule: non-coding RNA, 312 nt
Organism: Pelobates cultripes (western spadefoot toad)
Lineage: Eukaryota; Metazoa; Chordata; Amphibia; Anura; Pelobatidae
Source: the annotation of a GenBank genome assembly